Long non-coding RNA from Caenorhabditis elegans, 174 nucleotides. Ensembl annotates it as ncRNA. Its record names the gene linc-6. The record is from Ensembl. Lineage: Eukaryota; Metazoa; Nematoda; Chromadorea; Rhabditida; Rhabditidae.
CGGAUGUCUCUGGUUCGAUCCCCACGACCCCCCGCCAAUUUAUACUCGUCUACUCAUUUCGUUCUCGAUGUCUAAUUGCUCUACUGGACAACAACUCAUUCCUAAAAUCAUCAAAAGGAAGCGACGGAUUAUGAUAAAAAACCAAUCUAAACUAAGAAUAUGACAGAAAACAGU